This 253-nucleotide ribosomal RNA is filed under the name uncultured bacterium. RNAcentral describes it as "partial 16S ribosomal RNA". It matches the Rfam family "Bacterial small subunit ribosomal RNA", at positions 524 to 776 of the family's 1533-position model. The record is from RNAcentral.
UACGGAGGGUGCAAGCAUUAAUCGGAAUUAUUGGGCGUAAAGGGCGCGUAGGCGGAUAUAUAAGUCAGAUGUGAAAUUCCGAGGCUCGACUUCGGAGCCGCAUUUGAAACUAUAAAUCUCGAGGAUUGGCGGAGAGAACGGAAUUCCACGUGUAGCGGUGAAAUGCGUAGAUAUGUGGAAGAACACCGGUGGCGAAGGCGGCUUUCUGGACGGAUACUGACGCUGAGACGCGAAAGCGUGGGGAGCAAACAGG